GUGCUCGCUUCAACAGCAUAUAUACUAAAAUUGGAACAAUACAGAGAAAAUUAGCAUGGCUCCCGUGCAAGGAUGACACACAAAUUCAUGAAGCCUUCCAUAAAAAA
Microcebus murinus (gray mouse lemur) is the source of this 107-nucleotide small nuclear RNA. The record is from Ensembl. Lineage: Eukaryota; Metazoa; Chordata; Mammalia; Primates; Cheirogaleidae.